RNAcentral lists this unclassified non-coding RNA (358 nucleotides) under soil metagenome. RNAcentral's name for it is "partial contains 5.8S ribosomal RNA, internal transcribed spacer 2, and large subunit ribosomal RNA". The stretch from base 1 to 120 matches the Rfam family "5.8S ribosomal RNA", at positions 35 to 154 of the family's 154-position model. The record is from RNAcentral.
GAUGAAGAACGUAGCGAAAUGCGAUAAGUAAUGUGAAUUGCAGAAUUCAGUGAAUCAUCGAAUCUUUGAACGCACAUUGCGCCCGUCAGUAUUCUGGCGGGCAUGCCUGUUCGAGCGUCAUUACGCCCCUCAAGUCCCCUGUGGACUUGGUGUUGGGGAUCGGCGAGGCUGGUUUUCCAGCACAGCCGUCCCUUAAAUUAAUUGGCGGUAUCGCCGUGGCCCUCCUCUGCGCAGUAGUAAAACACUCGCAACAGGAGCCCGGCGCGGUCCACUGCCGUAAAACCCCCCAACUUUUUAUAGUUGACCUCGAAUCAGGUAGGACUACCCGCUGAACUUAAGCAUAUCAAUAAGCGGAGGA